GUUAGUGAUAUUUAUGAGAUAAAUCAUUAUAGAAAAGAAAAAAGAAAUCCAACAUAGCAUAAGUAUUUCAAAGAACAGAUAUGCAUCUUUAAAUAAAUAAAUGGGUUAGAACAGAAUUGCUAUCAUGUAACAUAAAGGGUUCAUUUAACUGCAUAUUGCAUGUCUAUUAUGAAGUUUCUUGGAAUGUAGGUCCAAAUCUGAAGCUGACUUGAGAAAAAGUUAACAUUUGAUUUAUGAAUAGAAUUUAUUUUCUUAUAUUUUUAGGAUGAGAGCAAGUGAUGAGACCCAAGACAGGCUAGAGAAAAAAAAAAAAAAAGAAAAAAAAAAAACACUUCAGAAUGUAAAUUCAGUAGCACAACCUAGAGUCCAACAAUGUCCUCAUGCUGCUGCACUGAGAAGACUGGGAAAAAAAAAUAGGAGAGGUUAAAAAUUCAAGAGUAAAAUCUCAAUUUUAAUUUCAAAACAUGAAGCUUUCUUUUGAAUAUUUACUUCAUAGUAGAGAAAUAUUUUGUCAUUUAAUAUCACAUAUAGCAAUUAAUUACUAUGGUUUGCACUUUUUUUUUUUUUAAUCUGCCAUUCAUUGCAGCUUCUGCAACUGUCCUCAAUAAUUUCCUCUGCAAACACGGAAAGUUUGAAGAAGAGUAAUAACUUGAGAGCUAUUGAGUGUUUAAAAGGAAUGACACAGUAGCUAGUCUAACUUAAUUUGCAAAUCUGAACUGGUUUUACAGGUCAUACCUCCCAGAUAAAAAAUACUAAGGAGAGAAUGGAGUUUGAAAUCCACUGCCAGGAUGGGACCUUGCAGUUAAUGCACCAGCUGCCAGCACUUGUCAAAGUUGACAUGAAGACAGCUGAAGAACAAGAAGACCCUUGGAGAUCCUUCCCAGACACGGCUUCCCAUGUUUGUACAUGAUCAAAGUUAUGCCUUGCUGUCCUGGUCCAUGGAUAAGAGACACUUUCGAAGUAAAUCACAGAUUUCUUCCAGCCUUAGUCAUUCCCAUCAUCUGUGGGUCAGUUGGACAUGUCCAGACAUUCAUUCUAGCAAUGAAUCAACACAUGAAGAGGUCUUGCAAUCUGGUGUGCAAGUGCAGGUGAAAAGUACUGCAUAUAACUCCUCGUGAUUUAGACAAAUGUUUAGACUGAUAUGAAACAAAUUUUUUUAUUUAUGUUUUGGACAUUUUUUUAAAUCCCUUUAAAAUGAGGAAAUUAUGAUGCAAAGUUUGAAAUGCAUUUCACUUGGAUUUAAUAAAUGAUUUUCUUUCUACUUUUAAAGAUAUUUA
RNAcentral lists this long non-coding RNA (1277 nucleotides) under Anas platyrhynchos platyrhynchos (common mallard). RNAcentral describes it as "lncRNA (ENSAPLG00000030766.1)". The record is from RNAcentral. Lineage: Eukaryota; Metazoa; Chordata; Aves; Anseriformes; Anatidae.